GACGAACGCUGGCGGCAUGCCUAACACAUGCAAGUCUAGGGGUAGCAAUACCACUGGCGCACGGGUGAGUAACACGUAGGUUAUCCGCCCCCAUCACAGACAUAACCCCGGGAAACCGGGGCUAAUAUCUGAUGAGGUCGCGAGAUCAAAGCUUCGGCGGAUGGGGAUGAGCCUGCGGCUGAUUAGCUAGUUGGUGAGGUAAUGGCUCACCAAGGCGACGAUCAGUAGCUGGUCUGAGAGGACGAACAGCCACACUGGAACUGAGACACGGUCCAGACUCCUACGGGAGGCAGCAGUGAGGAAUAUUGGUCAAUGGGAGCAAUCCUGAACCAGCAAUGCCGCGUGUGGGAUGACAGGGCUUCGCCUUGUAAACCACUGUCGGACGGGACGAAAGGAGGCCUCGGGCUCUGGGACGGUACCGUCAAAGGAAGGGUCGGCUAACUACGUGCCAGCAGCCGCGGUAAU
RNAcentral lists this ribosomal RNA (465 nucleotides) under uncultured bacterium. RNAcentral's name for it is "bacterial SSU rRNA". It matches the Rfam family "Bacterial small subunit ribosomal RNA", at positions 28 to 524 of the family's 1533-position model. The record is from RNAcentral.